UUUGUUAGCGGAGAGCUGAGCUCCACAGACUGCGAUCCUGUCUAAGAUCCAAUACGUUAGCUGUUUGCUGAUAAUUCAGAAACUAUGCACAUAUUUAUUAUACAUACACUUUUAUUUCUAGGAUUUUUUUUUACAAUUGCCUAUAAUACAGGGGGUUGUGCUGUCAAAAAUUUUAAAGUUUGAGCAGUGAGCCUAGUGGCUAAUAAUUGUAUGCCUAAUAUGCAGGAAAUGGAUCGUAGUUGGAUGUAUGAUAGGUUCAAUCCACAUAGGAGAGGCUUGAAAUUUGAGUUUGUUAGUGGAGUUCAGGAGUUUAUUAAGAAGGCUAAGGAACAACCCUGCUUUUUGUCUGAAAAAAAGAUCAAGUGUCCAUGUGAAACGUGUAAGUGUGUAAAGUCUUUCACUCCAAGAGAUGUGAAAGCUCAUUUGUACAAAAGUGGGUUUAAACCAAACUAUUCGAUCUGGACUGAGCACGGAGAACUAGAGCAAAAUAUUUGUCCAAUGAAUCAAUCAAAUAGUAGUGAACACAUGGAGGAGGAGGAGGAGGGGGUGGAGGAGGAGGAGGAUCCUAAAACUCCUCAUAUGGAGGCGUCGGAAGAGGAGGAUCCCAAAACUCCUGACAUGGAGGAGUCGGGAG
This 634-nucleotide long non-coding RNA is filed under the name Lathyrus oleraceus (garden pea). RNAcentral describes it as "Pisum sativum (pea) long non-coding RNA (PSAT_LNC037533)". Lineage: Eukaryota; Viridiplantae; Streptophyta; Magnoliopsida; Fabales; Fabaceae. The record is from RNAcentral.